Phascolarctobacterium sp. is the source of this 350-nucleotide non-coding RNA. It matches the Rfam family "transfer-messenger RNA". From Rfam's summary of the family: Bacterial tmRNA, also known as 10Sa RNA or SsrA, is named for its dual tRNA and mRNA-like properties. Its role is to liberate the mRNA from a stalled ribosome. The record is from Rfam. Lineage: Bacteria; Bacillati; Bacillota; Negativicutes; Acidaminococcales; Acidaminococcaceae.
GGGGAUGUACUGGUUUCGACGGGGGUAGGUGCGGUAUGAUAAGCGAGCCGUGGUUCCAUCUGCACGAUAAUCGGUGGGCACGUUUAAAUAUAAACGCUGAACAAGAAUACGCUUUAGCAGCUUAAUCUGCUAACUGUCUCUGAGCCUCCUCCCGCGGGUGAGGAAUGACAGUCAAUAGUGGGAUACCUUAAGGCUGAUUCCUAUAGGCUUUAAGGGAAACUCUGUAGGAUAGCAAUGUGAAGGCCCGUCGUCAGGCAAUCGCAGCGCGAAACAAAGUAUGACGUCUGCGCUCGGAGAAAGUUGUAUGGCAAUAUUUUCGGACAGGGGUUCGACUCCCCUCAUCUCCACCA